UCCUACGGGAGGCAGCAGUGAGGAAUAUUGGGCAAUGGAGGCAACUCUGACCCAGCCAUGCCGCGUGAGUGAAGAAGGUUUUCGGAUUGUAAAGCUCUUUCGGAUGUGACGAUGAUGACGGUAGCAUCUAAAGAAGCCCCGGCUAACUUCGUGCCAGCAGCCGCGGUAAUACGAAGGGGGCGAGCGUUGUUCGGAAUUACUGGGCGUAAAGGGUGUGUAGGCGGUUAUGUAAGAUAGCGGUGAAAUCCCGGGGCUUAACCUCGGAAUAGCCGUUAUAACUAUGUAGCUAGAGUUAUGGAGAGGAUAGCGGAAUACCCAGUGUAGAGGUGAAAUUCGUAGAUAUUGGGUAGAACACCGGUGGCGAAGGCGGCUAUCUGGCCAUAUACUGACGCUGAGGCACGAAAGCAUGGGUAUCAAACAGGAUUAGAUACCCUGGUAGUCCAUGCUGUAAACGAUGAAUGCUGGUUGUCGGCUUUAGGGUCGGUGACGAAGUUAACGCGAUAAGCAUUCCGCCUGGGGAGUACGGUCGCAAGAUUAAAACUCAAAGGAAUUGACGGGGACCCGCACAAGCGGUGGAGCAUGUGGUUUAAUUCGAUGCAACGCGAAGAACCUUACCAACUCUUGACAUCCUUAUCGGGGGGCGCAGAGAUGAGCCCUUUCAGUUAGGCUGGAUAAGUGACAGAUGCUGCAUGGUUGUCGUCAGCUCGUGUCGUGAGAUGUUGGGUUAAGUCCCGCAACGAGCGCAACCCCUGCUAUCAGUUGCCAGCGAGUAAAGUUGGGCACUCUGAUAGGACUGCCGGUGACAAGCCGGAGGAAGGUGGGGAUGACGUCAAGUCAUCAUGGCUCUUACGAGUUGGGCUACACACGUGCUACAAUGGUAACUACAGAGGGGAGCGAGACCGCGAGGUUGAGCCAAUCUUAAAAAGUUAUCUCAGUUCGGAUUGUUCUCUGCAACUCGAGAACAUGAAGUUGGAAUCGCUAGUAAUCGCGGAUCAGCAUGCCGCGGUGAAUACGUUCCCGGGUCUUGUACACACCGCCCGUCACGCCAUGGGAGUUGGUUCUGCCUGACGGCGUUGAGGUAACCCGCAAGGGAGCCUGGCGACCACGGUAGGGUCAGCGACUGGGGCGAAGUCGUAACAAGGUAGCCGUAGGGGAACCUGCGGCUG
This 1166-nucleotide ribosomal RNA is filed under the name human gut metagenome. RNAcentral's name for it is "bacterial SSU rRNA". It matches the Rfam family "Bacterial small subunit ribosomal RNA", at positions 337 to 1520 of the family's 1533-position model. The record is from RNAcentral.